GUGGGGAAUUUUGGACAAUGGGCGCAAGCCUGAUCCAGCCAUUCCGCGUGCAGGAUGAAGGCCUUCGGGUUGUAAACUGCUUUUGUACGGAACGAAAAGGUUCUCUCUAAUACAGGGGGCUGAUGACGGUACCGUAAGAAUAAGCACCGGCUAACUACGUGCCAGCAGCCGCGGUAAUACGUAGGGUGCAAGCGGUAAUCGGAAUUACUGGGCGUAAAGCGUGCGCAGGCGGUGAUGUAAGACAGAUGUGAAAUCCCCGGGCUCAACCUGGGAACUGCAUUUGUGACUGCAUUGCUGGAGUGCGGCAGAGGGGGAUGGAAUUCCGCGUGUAGCAGUGAAAUGCGUAGAUAUGCGGAGGAACACCGAUGGCGAAGGCAAUCCCCUGGGCCUGCACUGACGCUCAUGCACGAAAGCGUGGGGAGCAAACAGGAUUAGAAACCCCUGUAGUCC
This 450-nucleotide ribosomal RNA is filed under the name uncultured bacterium. Its description in RNAcentral is "bacterial SSU rRNA". It matches the Rfam family "Bacterial small subunit ribosomal RNA", at positions 354 to 796 of the family's 1533-position model. The record is from RNAcentral.